This 460-nucleotide ribosomal RNA is filed under the name Hoplonemertea sp. Hoplo_CB160_MCB007_18_01. RNAcentral describes it as "partial 16S ribosomal RNA". The stretch from base 335 to 460 matches the Rfam family "Bacterial large subunit ribosomal RNA", at positions 2473 to 2599 of the family's 2925-position model. The record is from RNAcentral. Lineage: Eukaryota; Metazoa; Nemertea; Enopla.
UUUUAGAGAUUUUUUUAUAAAUAUUUUUCUGCUCAUGUUUAUAAAUAGCUGCAGUAAUUUGACUGUGCAAAGGUAGCAUAAUCAUUUGUCUUUUAAUUAGAGACUAGUAUGAAUGGAAGAACAAAAGUUUUUUUGUCUAUUUUUUUUUUUUUAGAAUUUGUAUUUAUUGUGAAGAUACAGUAAUAUGUUAAAAAGACAAGAAGACCCUUUGAGCUUAACUUUUUAUUAUUUUUUUUUUGUUUAAUUGGGGUGAUUGAAGAAGAGUAUAGUUUAAAGAGCUUCUUUUGAUUUUUAAGAACCUUUUUUAAAGGAUUUUAGAAUAAGUUACCAAAGGGAUAACAGCGUAAUUUUUUUUAAAAGUUCUUAUUUAAAAAAAAGAUUUCGACCUCGAUGUUGACUUAUAAUUUCCUUUUAGUGCAGGUGCUAUUAAGGUAGGUCUGUUCGACCUUUAAAAUUUUAC